Molecule: ribosomal RNA, 757 nt
Filed under: uncultured bacterium
Lineage: Bacteria
Description: bacterial SSU rRNA
Rfam family: Bacterial small subunit ribosomal RNA
Source: RNAcentral
AACGAACGCUGGCGGCGUGGAUAAGACAUGCAAGUCGAACGAGAGAAUUGCUAGCUUGCUAAUAAUUCUCUAGUGGCGCACGGGUGAGUAACACGUGAGUAACCUGCCCCCGAGAGCGGGAUAGCCCUGGGAAACUGGGAUUAAUACCGCAUAGUAUCGAAAGAUUAAAGCAGCAAUGCGCUUGGGGAUGGGCUCGCGGCCUAUUAGUUAGUUGGUGAGGUAACGGCUCACCAAGGCGAUGACGGGUAGCCGGUCUGAGAGGAUGUCCGGCCACACUGGAACUGAGACACGGUCCAGACACCUACGGGUGGCAGCAGUCGAGAAUCAUUCACAAUGGGGGAAACCCUGAUGGUGCGACGCCGCGUGGGGGAAUGAAGGUCUUCGGAUUGUAAACCCCUGUCAUGUGGGAGCAAAUUAAAAAGAUAGUACCACAAGAGGAAGAGACGGCUAACUCUGUGCCAGCAGCCGCGGUAAUACAGAGGUCUCAAGCGUUGUUCGGAAUCACUGGGCGUAAAGCGUGCGUAGGCUGUUUCGUAAGUCGUGUGUGAAAGGCGCGGGCUCAACCCGCGGACGGCACAUGUUACUGCGAGACUAGAGUAAUGGAGGGGGAACCGGAAUUCUCGGUGUAGCAGUGAAAUGCGUAGAUAUCGAGAGGAACACUCGUGGCGAAGGCGGGUUCCUGGACAUUAACUGACGCUGAGGCACGAAGGCCAGGGGAGCGAAAGGGAUUAGAUACCCCUGUAGUCCUGGCAGUAAA